RNAcentral lists this ribosomal RNA (501 nucleotides) under uncultured bacterium. RNAcentral's name for it is "partial 16S ribosomal RNA". It matches the Rfam family "Bacterial small subunit ribosomal RNA", at positions 30 to 523 of the family's 1533-position model. The record is from RNAcentral.
AUUGAACGCUGGCGGCAGGCUUAACACAUGCAAGUCGAGCGGAGAUGAGGUGCUUGCACCUUAUCUUAGCGGCGGACGGGUGAGUAAUGCUUAGGAAUCUGCCUAUUAGUGGGGGACAACAUUCCGAAUGGCAUGCUAAUACCGCAUACGUCCUACGGGAGAAAGCAGGGGAACUUCGGACCUUGCGCUAAUAGAUGAGCCUAAGUCGGAUUAGCUAGUUGGUGGGGUAAAGGCCUACCAAGGCGACGAUCUGUAGCGGGUCUGAGAGGAUGAUCCGCCACACUGGGACUGAGACACGGCCCAGACUCCUACGGGAGGCAGCAGUGGGGAAUAUUGGACAAUGGGGGGAACCCUGAUCCAGCCAUGCCGCGUGUGUGAAGAAGGCCUUAUGGUUGUAAAGCACUUUAAGCGAGGAGGAGGCUACUGAGACUAAUACUCUUGGAUAGUGGACGUUACUCGCAGAAUAAGCACCGGCUAACUCUGUGCCAGCAGCCGCCGCCG